UACGUAGGCAGCGAGCGUUGUUCGGAGUUACUGGGCGUGAAGGGUGUGUAGGCGGUUGUUUAAGUUUGGUGUGAAAUCUCCCGGCUCAACUGGGAGGGUGCGCCGAAUACUGAAUGACUUCGAGUGCGGGAGAGGAGAGUGGAAUUCCUGGUGUAGCGGUGAAAUGCGUAGAUAUCAGGAGGAACACCGGUGGUGUAGACGGCUCUCUGGACCGUAACUGACGCUGAGACACGAAAGCGUGGGUAGCAAACAGG
This 254-nucleotide ribosomal RNA is filed under the name uncultured bacterium. Its description in RNAcentral is "partial 16S ribosomal RNA". It matches the Rfam family "Bacterial small subunit ribosomal RNA", at positions 524 to 776 of the family's 1533-position model. The record is from RNAcentral.